GACGAACGCUGGCGGCGUGCUUAACACAUGCAAGUCGAACGAUGAAGAAGAGAAACGCGAACUUCGGUUCAACUUUCACUUCGGAUUAGUGGCAGACGGGUGAGUAACGCGUGAGCAACCUACCUCUUACAAAGGGAUAGCCUCGGGAAACCGUGAUUAAUACCAUAUGACACAUUCAUAAGGCAUCUUAAGAAUGUUAAAGCUACGGCGGUAAGAGAUGGGCUCGUGUCCCAUUAGCUAGUUGGUGAGGUAACGGCCCACCAAGGCGACGAUGGGUAACCGGCCUGAGAGGGUGAACGGUCACAUUGGAACUGAGACACGGUCCAAACUCCUACGGGAGGCAGCAGUGGGGAAUAUUGCACAAUGGAGGGAACUCUGAUGCAGCGACGCCGCGUGAGCGAUGAAGGAAUUCGUUUCGUAAAGCUCUGUUCUAUGGGAAGAAAAGGACUGUACCAUAGGAGAAAGCCCCGGCUAAAUACGUG
This 482-nucleotide ribosomal RNA is filed under the name uncultured bacterium. RNAcentral describes it as "partial 16S ribosomal RNA". It matches the Rfam family "Bacterial small subunit ribosomal RNA", at positions 28 to 507 of the family's 1533-position model. The record is from RNAcentral.